GCGAGGGUGCCAGAGCGGUUUAAUGGGGCGGCCUGCAAAGCUGUUAUUCGAGGGUUCGAAUCCCUCCCCUCGCU
This 74-nucleotide transfer RNA is filed under the name Candidatus Altarchaeales archaeon. RNAcentral's name for it is "tRNA-Cys". It matches the Rfam family "tRNA". Rfam says of the family: Transfer RNA (tRNA) molecules are approximately 80 nucleotides in length. Their secondary structure includes four short double-helical elements and three loops (D, anti-codon, and T loops). Lineage: Archaea; Nanobdellati; Candidatus Altarchaeota; Candidatus Altarchaeia; Candidatus Altarchaeales. The record is from RNAcentral.